AGCGGGGUAAGACAGUUUGGAGUGUCUGCUGGGCUCAUAACCCAGAAGUCGUUGGUUCAAAUCCAACCCCCGCUACCA
Molecule: transfer RNA, 78 nt
Filed under: uncultured archaeon
Lineage: Archaea
Description: tRNA-Met
Rfam family: tRNA
About the family: Transfer RNA (tRNA) molecules are approximately 80 nucleotides in length.
Source: RNAcentral